AUACGUAGGGGGCGAGCGUUAUCCGGAUUUAUUGGGCGUAAAGCGUGUGUAGGCGGUCUAUUAAGUUUAAGAUCAAAUCCCGGAGCUUAACUCCGGUCCGUCUUAAAAACUGGUAGACUUGAGUACAGUAGAGGCAAGUGGAAUUUCUAGUGUAGCGGUUAAAUGCGUAGAUAUUAGAAGGAACACCAGUGGCGAAGGCGGCUUGCUGGGCUGUUACUGACGCUGAGACACGAAAGCGUGGGGAGCAAAUAGGAUUAGAUACCCUAGUAGUCCACGCCGUAAACGAUGAGUACUAAGUGUCGGGCAACCGGUGCUGAAGUUAACACAUUAAGUACUCCGCCUGAGUAGUACGGUCGCAAGGCUGAA
Molecule: ribosomal RNA, 366 nt
Filed under: uncultured bacterium
Lineage: Bacteria
Description: bacterial SSU rRNA
Rfam family: Bacterial small subunit ribosomal RNA
Source: RNAcentral